RNAcentral lists this long non-coding RNA (1080 nucleotides) under Ananas comosus (pineapple). RNAcentral's name for it is "long non-coding RNA (ACOM_LNC036878)". Lineage: Eukaryota; Viridiplantae; Streptophyta; Magnoliopsida; Poales; Bromeliaceae. The record is from RNAcentral.
GAUCCGCUCUCGUGUGUACCUGUACCCCAAAAUCACACGGGGUGAGAACUAUAUAAAUAUAGUUCCCAGUGGGUUCGGCCGCCGACUCCGCCGAUCUUCCCACUAGGUCCAAGCUGGCACAGAUAGAUAGAUAGAAAGAUAUAUGGAAAUACUACUACUAUAUCUACUAUGCCAUCAAAUGCAAAGUAUGCAUGGAACAUCAUCUAGCAACAAUCUACUAUCAUGCUAAUAUGCCUCAACAGUGAAAUAAAUACAACAACAACAUAGUUAUGCAAUGCACUAUGUCUAAUCAAGGUAUGAAUGCAAUACUCUUAUGCUAUUCAUGUUAUUACCCAAUCCGCUAGGCUAACUUGCCUAAGAUCUCAAAUCUAGUAGGUGAAGAGCUACCUCACUCUUGUCUCACUCGACUCAUAUCUCAAAGGUCUGACCCAAUCUCGUGAGUCCCAGGCAAAGAGCUACCCCGCCCCUCGCCCGACUCACAUCUCAAGGUCCUAGGCAAAGGCUACCCCGCACUUUGCACGACUCACAUCUCGACCUACUAGGUACAGAGCUACUCCACUCAAAUCUCAUAGGUGAACAACAACAACAACUAUGGAAGCAAGCUAUCAUGAACAACAAUAAUGAGUAUGACUCAAUAGGUACUCAAAUCUCAUAGGUGAAGGAAUAGUAUAUCAUGAAGGCAUGAGCAAUAAGUAAGCUACUAUGAACACUAGUAAGCUACUAUGAACAACAACAACAACUAUGGAAGCAAGCUAUCAUGAACAACAAUAAUGAGUAUGACUCAAUAGGUAACCAAAUCUCGUGGUGAACACAAGAUUCACAAGCAAGGCUCACAUAUCAAUCUCCGAGGGAUGCCUAGCUGGACUAUCCCCGAGUACGCCUGCGGAUAACAAGCGGCUAUCCGAGCAGCAAGCAGGGCUGCCUCUCUAGUGACCAAUCUCCGGAGCGCACAACCUGGGGGGAGCGACCCCACUAAGCGCAGACAGGCAAUGUGAGCAAGAUCAUCUCACGAGCAACAACAACAACCUUUUGAGGGUAAUAUCAUCAUGGAAGCAAGGUAUACAUGUACCCAAUCUCAUA